This 301-nucleotide ribosomal RNA is filed under the name uncultured bacterium. Its description in RNAcentral is "partial 16S ribosomal RNA". It matches the Rfam family "Bacterial small subunit ribosomal RNA", at positions 509 to 809 of the family's 1533-position model. The record is from RNAcentral.
CAGCAGCCGCGGGAAUACAGAGGGUGCGAGCGUUAAUCGGAUUUACUGGGCGUAAAGCGUGCGUAGGCGGCUUUUUAAGUCGGAUGUGAAAUCCCUGAGCUUAACUUUGGAAUUGCAUUCGAUACUGGGAAGCUAGAGUAUGGGAGAGGAUGGUAGAAUUCCAGGUGUAGCGGUGAAAUGCGUAGAGAUCUGGAGGAAUACCGAUGGCGAAGGCAGCCAUCUGGCCUAAUACUGACGCUGAGGUACGAAAGCAUGGGGAGCAAACAGGAUUAGAUACCCCGGUAGUCCUGUCUCUUAUACA